GACGAACGCUGGCGGCGUGCUUAACACAUGCAAGUCGAACGGAAAGGCCCUGCUUUUGUUGGGUGCUCGAUUGGCGAACGGGUGAGUAACACGUGAGUAACCUGCCCUUGACUUUGUGGUAACUUCAGGAAACUGGGGCUAAUACCGGGUAUGAUCUCCUGCUGCAUGGUGGUGGUUGGAAAGUUCCGGCGGUUGGGGAUGGACUCGCGGCUUAUCAGCUUGUUUGUGGGGUAGUGGCUUACCAGGGCUUUGACGGGUAGCCGGCCUGAGAGGGUGACCGGCGACAUUGGGACUGCGAUACGGCCCAGACGCCUACGGGAGGCAGCAGUGGGGAAUAUUGCACAAUGGGCGGAAGCCUGAUGCAGAAACGCCGCGUGCGGGAUGACGGCCUUCGGGUUGUAAACAGAUUUCGACUGUGCCGAAGAGUGAGUGACGGUAAUGGGUAAAGAAGCCACGGCUAACUACGUG
RNAcentral lists this ribosomal RNA (468 nucleotides) under uncultured bacterium. RNAcentral describes it as "partial 16S ribosomal RNA". It matches the Rfam family "Bacterial small subunit ribosomal RNA", at positions 28 to 507 of the family's 1533-position model. The record is from RNAcentral.